ACGGGUGAGUAAUGCGUCGGAACGUGUCCAUGUCGUGGGGGAUAGCCCGGCGAAAGCCGGAUUAAUACCGCAUACGCCCGAGAGGGGAAAGUGGGGGACCGCAAGGCCUCACGCGAUUGGGUCGGCCGAUGUCCGAUUAGCUAGUUGGCGGGGUAAAGGCCCACCAAGGCGAUGAUCGGUAGCUGGUCUGAGAGGAUGAUCAGCCACACUGGGACUGAGACACGGCCCAGACUCCUACGGGAGGCAGCAGUGGGGAAUUUUGGACAAUGGGGGCAACCCUGAUCCAGCCAUUCCGCGUGAGUGAAGAAGGCCUUCGGGUUGUAAAGCUCUUUUGUCCGGAACGAAACGGGUUGCGUGAAUAGCGCCGCCUACUGACGGUACCGGAAGAAUAAGCACCGGCUAACUACGUGCCAGCAGCCGCGGUAAUACGUAGGGUGCGAGCGUUAAUCGGAAUUACUGGGCGUAAAGCGUGCGCAGGCGGUUUUGUAAGCCAGAUGUGAAAUCCCCGGGCUUAACCUGGGAAUGGCAUUUGGGACUGCAAGGCUCGAGUGCGGCAGAGGAGACUGGAAUUCCUGGUGUAGCAGUGA
This 587-nucleotide ribosomal RNA is filed under the name uncultured bacterium. RNAcentral's name for it is "bacterial SSU rRNA". It matches the Rfam family "Bacterial small subunit ribosomal RNA", at positions 102 to 684 of the family's 1533-position model. The record is from RNAcentral.